This is a non-coding RNA of Acanthosepion pharaonis, 106 nucleotides long. The record is from the annotation of a GenBank genome assembly. NCBI's taxonomy places the organism in Eukaryota, Metazoa, Mollusca, Cephalopoda, Sepiida, Sepiidae.
ACGGCCAUAUCUCGUUGAAAAACCGGUUCCGUACGAUCACCAAAGUUAAGCAACGUCGAGUCUGUUCAGUACCUAGAUGGGUGACCACUUUGGAAUACCAGUUGCU